CGCCAGACUCCUACGGGAGGCAGCAGUGAGGAAUAUUGGUCAAUGGUCGGGAGACUGAACCAGCCAAGCCGCGUGAGGGAGGAAGGUACAGAGUAUCGUAAACCUCUUUUGUCAGGGAACAAAGACUGGGACGCGUCCCCGGAUGAGUGUACCUGAAGAAAAAGCAUCGGCUAACUCCGUGCCAGCAGCCGCGGUAAUACGUAGGGGGCAAGCGUUAUCCGGAUUUACUGGGUGUAAAGGGGGCGCAGACGGCAAUGCAAGCCAGGAGUGAAAGCCCGGGGCCCAACCCCGGGACUGCUCUUGGAACUGCAUGGCUGGAGUACAGGAGGGGCAGGCGGAAUUCCUAGUGUAGCGGUGAAAUGCGUAGAUAUUAGGAGGAACACCGGUGGCGAAGGCGGCCUGCUGGACUGUGACUGACGUUGAGGCCCGAAGGCGUGGGGAGCAAACAGGAUUAGAUACCCGAGUACAA
RNAcentral lists this ribosomal RNA (469 nucleotides) under uncultured bacterium. RNAcentral describes it as "bacterial SSU rRNA". It matches the Rfam family "Bacterial small subunit ribosomal RNA", at positions 329 to 798 of the family's 1533-position model. The record is from RNAcentral.